CUCACACCCUCCGCUCUCAUGGCCACAACCUCCCCCCCGGCAUCCCAGUGUGUCCCAGUCCAUCCCAGUGUGCCCCAGUCCACCCCAGUGUGUCUCUAACCCUGCCUUUGUCCCCAGCCUCCCAAAGUUGACCUGGGGAAGCUGCUGCGCCAGUGACGCUCGGCUGCCUCUCUGCAUGUCCAGGACUGGAAGUGGUGGUGACACCCGUGUCCUGGCCCCCUCCAGUGGCAUGAGGAGAUGAUCAUCCCUGGAGGACCCCCCUGAUCCCCUGGGUGCCCUGGCAAUUUCCCUGCAAGAAUCAAUAAACCCCUGCAGCAAAACAAA
This is a long non-coding RNA of Pseudopipra pipra, 324 nucleotides long. RefSeq lists it as uncharacterized. The transcript has 2 exons. NCBI's taxonomy places the organism in Eukaryota, Metazoa, Chordata, Aves, Passeriformes, Pipridae. The record is from RefSeq and is a predicted model, not a curated record.